This is a non-coding RNA of Pelobates cultripes (western spadefoot toad), 796 nucleotides long. Lineage: Eukaryota; Metazoa; Chordata; Amphibia; Anura; Pelobatidae. The record is from the annotation of a GenBank genome assembly.
GUUACAACAGAAUGCCACAAUCAUAAAACAAAACAUAAAGAAAAAAAUGAAAUGACUCCUGUUCAAAAAUCUACAUACCCUUAGUUCUUAAUGCUCUGUAUUGCCACCUUUAGCAUCAAUUAGAGCGUGCAGUCGUUUGUAAUAGCUGAGGCCCCUAAUUCUUGCAGUUGGUAUAGUUGCCCAUUCGUCUUGGCAAAAUGCCUCCAGGUCAUGCAAAGUCUUUGGUCGUCAUGACCUGCACAUUUCAGAUCUCCCCAGAGUGGCUUGAUGAUAUCAAGGUCAGGAGUCUGUGAUGGCCAUUCCAGCACCUUCACCUUUUUCUGUUGUAACCACUGAAGGGUCAACUUGGCUGCCAAUGGUAACCUUAUGAUUUUUUCCUACUCUGGGUGAUAGGCCAGUGGAACAAAUGGAUGUGCUUUGCUUGUACCUGAAGCCAGGGCCGAUCCUUGGGGGGUUGCAGAUGCAUAUGUGAUCUGUAGAGAUGCAGGGUGUUCGGCGCAGUCUGCACCCCCCAAGGAUCGACCAUGCCUGUAGCAUGCUUUGCCCCAAGCAAUGGAAGCUGCCUUGUCUGUAAUCCUAGUUCCUCCCGGCUAUUCAGGCAGAAGACCUUUUAACAGAAGUUGAUACCUUCCUUGCUGUAUCUGUACUGUUAUCAAUGCUUUUCAUUCUUAACAGGUGCCAGGGUCACAAAGGCAGGGGUCUUGAGUACAUUAUAGGCUAUGGGGCCAAAGGAACCACCAUCCGGUAAAAAAUAAAGAGGGGGCAAAAUGCAGAUAUUUGUUACGGAGAAAUCAAC